CGUGUGGUCCUAUUUUGUUGGUUUCUAGGACCACCGUAAUGAUUAAUAGGGAUAGUCGGGGGCAUCCGUAUUCAAUUGUCAGAGGUGAAAUUCUUGGAUUUAUUGAAGACGAACUACUGCGAAAGCAUUUGCCAAGGAUGUUUUCAUUAAUCAGGAACGAAAGUUAGGGGAUCGAAGACGAUCAGAUACCGUCGUAGUCUUAACCAUAAACUAUGCCGACUAGGGAUCGGACGGCGUUAGAAUAACGACUCGUUCGGCACCUUACGAGAAAUCAUAAGUGUUUGGGUUCUGGGGGGAGUAUGGUCGCAAGGCUGAAACUUAAAGAAAUUGACGGAAGGGCACCACCAGGAGUGGAGCCUGCGGCUUAAUUUGACUCAACACGGGGAAACU
Molecule: ribosomal RNA, 390 nt
Filed under: fungal sp.
Lineage: Eukaryota; Fungi
Description: SSU rRNA
Rfam family: Eukaryotic small subunit ribosomal RNA
Source: RNAcentral